This 1167-nucleotide unclassified non-coding RNA is filed under the name Hevea brasiliensis (rubber tree). The record is from RNAcentral. Lineage: Eukaryota; Viridiplantae; Streptophyta; Magnoliopsida; Malpighiales; Euphorbiaceae.
CUUGGGUAGAAUGAAAUUUCCUUUCCAUUCAUAAAUUUUUACAUAGCAUUUGAUUUCAAAUCCAAGUCUAUAUACAAGUCCCUUGUCAGCAAAUCACCCAAUCAAAAAGCACCACACUGCACAUUGACUGUGAAACUGGGAACUCAAGAAAUUUUUCUCAUUUCUUCCUUGACACGUGAGAAAAGCAAACUCCUUACAUGAAAAAGAAAACCAAAAUAAAGAGCUAGCCACAUCAUAUACAGAUCUCAGAUCACAUCAUAGAGCAGAUCCAUCAAUCCACACAUGACUACUCAAUCCUAUUUAUAACAUUCACAGAAGAAAGUAGAAGGAAGUAGAAAAACCCAAAAAGAAAAAAAAUGUAAAAUCCUCAAAGUGAAGAGUCCUCCUCCAAAUCACUUCUUGCCCUUUCCUUGCUGACAAAAACCAUACAUAGUACCAUAUAUAUUCUGUUCUUUACCCUCCACCUUCUGUUCUUUCCUCCGGUAAUUGUUUUUUCUCUUUUCAGCGCAAAUUAACAUUAUAAACUAUAUGCAUGUAUAUAUAUUUGUUUGUAAAACUAAGCUGCAGCUACAGUGCCUGUACAAGAAGGGUAGUCCUGUGUCUUAGGAGGUGAUAUAGAUUUCUUCUGGUCUUUUUUCCUUAAAGCUUUCAUGGAAGAAGAAAGGUUCCAGUUCUUGUCUUUAGCUUCAUCAAUCUCUAUUUGCUCUUGCCUGCACUCUUCACUGCAGAAUGGUGUGUCCCCUCUAUACAUGAAGAUGUCUCUGUUAUCACUCAGUGGUCUCUUGCAAAGAAAACAAGCUUCCAAGAAAUGAGGCUGAUGAUCUUCAAAUCUCGCAUCAUAAAAUCUCGCAGAUCUUGGAGAAGCAACAGACGAUGAAAGGUUCCUGAAACUCCCCGUCUUCCUCCCAUAACAAAGCGACCGAGAAAAGAAAGGGUGGUUGUGAUGGUGGUUUUGGUGGUUCCCUGAAAACCCAGCUUCCAUAUCAGCAAGAGAAGCUAACCCAUCAUCUUCCUCAACGAAACAAGGCCUUCUAAACCCAGAAGACGAGUCCAUGACUCUUUUACUAUAAAUUUGGCUAUGUAUAUAGCCCUUCUUCAAGUUUUUGCUUUUCUUAGAUUCUUGAGAGAAGAGAAGAGAAGAGAAGAGGAGAAGAGGAAGGACAAAGG